AGAAUCAACGCUGGCGGCGUGCCUCAGACAUGCAAGUCGAACGCGAAAGUCCCCUUCGGGGGACAAGUAGAGUGGCGCACGGGUGAGUAACACGUAGGUAAUCUACCUUCGGAUGGGGAAUAACAACCGGAAACGGUUGCUAAUACCGCAUAAUGCAGCGGCACCUAAUGGUGACAGUUGUUAAAGCGGGGGAUCGAAAGACCUCGCGUCUGAAGAGGAGCCUGCGGCGGAUUAGCUAGUUGGUAAGGUAAUGGCUUACCAAGGCAACGA
Molecule: ribosomal RNA, 270 nt
Filed under: uncultured soil bacterium
Lineage: Bacteria
Description: partial 16S ribosomal RNA
Rfam family: Bacterial small subunit ribosomal RNA
Source: RNAcentral